This 359-nucleotide long non-coding RNA is filed under the name Monodelphis domestica (gray short-tailed opossum). RNAcentral describes it as "lncRNA (ENSMODG00000045805.1)". The record is from RNAcentral. Lineage: Eukaryota; Metazoa; Chordata; Mammalia; Didelphimorphia; Didelphidae.
UGGUGGACAGUGUGAAUGGCACAGAUACCACCCAUACCUCCAUGGAAAUGCAUAAAUAAAUGACCUACCACCAGAGAUCCAUGCUAUCAUUGUAACAUAAAAGACAAGUCUCAGCUCUCCUGGAUCAGCAUUCAAGGCCCUGACCCAGAAGAAAACAUAGAUGAUGCUUUCUCUGAGAUAGGGAGGGGAAUGAGUGACUAUAAUACCUGAGAAAAUUUCUAUUAAUAAAAUUAAAGAAAUAGCAUAUAUGAGAAAUUCAGAGAUACACAGGAAGACUUAAAUGAACUGUCAGAGAACAAGGGUCAUCAAAAUACAAAGGCAAGACAAAAGUCAGAAUAAAUGUGAUGGUCUGGGAUGCA